AUUCCCCCAGUAGCGGCGAGCGAACGGGGAGGAGCCCAGAGCCUGAAUCAGCAUGUGUGUUAGUGGAAGCGUCUGGAAAGGCGCGCGAUACAGGGUGACAGCCCCGUACACAAAAGCGCAUGUGUUGUGAGCUCGAUGAGUAGGGCGGGACACGUGGUAUCCUGUCUGAAUAUGGGGGGACCAUCCUCCAAGGCUAAAUACUCCUGACUGACCGAUAGUGAACCAGUACCGUGAGGGAAAGGCGAAAAGAACCCCGGCGAGGGGAGUGAAAAAGAACCUGAAACCGUGUACGUACAAGCAGUGGGAGCACCCUUUGGGGUGUGACUGCGUACCUUUUGUAUAAUGGGUCAGCGACUUAUAUUCUGUAGCAAGGUUAACCGAAUAGGGGAGCCGGAGGGAAACCGAGUCUUAAUUGGGCGUUAAGUUGCAGGGUAUAGACCCGAAACCCGGUGAUCUAGCCAUGGGCAGGUUGAAGGUUGGGUAACACUAACUGGAGGACCGAACCGACUAAUGUUGAAAAAUUAGCGGAUGACCUGUGGCUGGGGGUGAAAGGCCAAUCAAACCGGGAGAUAGCUGGUUCUCCCCGAAAGCUAUUUAGGUAGCGCCUCGUGAAUUCAUCUCCGGGGGUAGAGCACUGUUUCGGCUAGGGGGCCAUCCCGGCUUACCAACCCGAUGCAAACUGCGAAUACCGGAGAAUGUUAUCACGGGAGACACACGGCGGGUGCUAACGUCCGUCGUGAAGAGGGAAACAACCCAGACCGCCAGCUAAGGUCCCAAAGUCAUGGUUAAGUGGGAAACGAUGUGGGAAGGCCCAGACAGCCAGGAUGUUGGCUUAGAAGCAGCCAUCAUUUAAAGAAAGCGUAAUAGCUCACUGGUCGAGUCGGCCUGCGCG
RNAcentral lists this ribosomal RNA (892 nucleotides) under Salmonella enterica. Its description in RNAcentral is "partial 23S ribosomal RNA". It matches the Rfam family "Bacterial large subunit ribosomal RNA", at positions 234 to 1165 of the family's 2925-position model. The record is from RNAcentral. Lineage: Bacteria; Pseudomonadati; Pseudomonadota; Gammaproteobacteria; Enterobacterales; Enterobacteriaceae.